ACUAGUGACACGGGGUGCAAAAGCACUUUAAAAAAGCUUUCGCUGAGAUUACACCCGUCGAACCUGAUCCAGUUAGUACUGGCGAAGGGACUGUCGCAUUGGACCCAU
Molecule: regulatory RNA element, 108 nt
Organism: Corynebacterium glutamicum ATCC 13032
Lineage: Bacteria; Bacillati; Actinomycetota; Actinomycetes; Mycobacteriales; Corynebacteriaceae
Rfam family: TPP riboswitch aptamer (THI element)
About the family: Vitamin B(1) in its active form thiamin pyrophosphate (TPP) is an essential coenzyme that is synthesised by coupling of pyrimidine and thiazole moieties in bacteria. The previously detected thiamin-regulatory element, thi box was extended, resulting in a new, highly conserved RNA secondary structure, the THI element, which is widely distributed in eubacteria and also occurs in some archaea.
Source: Rfam